ACACGACUACAUUAGAUACCCGGGUAGUCCCAGCUGUAAACGAUGCAGACUAGGUGUUUGGACGGCCACGUGCCGUUCUAGUGCCGCAGGGAAGCUGUUAAGUCUGCCGCCUGGGGAGUACGAUCGCAAGAUUGAAACUUAAAGGAAUUGGCGGGGGAGCACCACAAGGGGUGAAGCUUGCGGUUUAAUUGGAGUCAACGCCGGAAAUCUCACCGGGAGCGACAGCAGUGUGAUAGCCAGAUUAAAGGUCUUGCUAGACGAGCUG
RNAcentral lists this ribosomal RNA (265 nucleotides) under uncultured archaeon. Its description in RNAcentral is "partial 16S ribosomal RNA". It matches the Rfam family "Archaeal small subunit ribosomal RNA", at positions 717 to 982 of the family's 1478-position model. The record is from RNAcentral.